RNAcentral lists this ribosomal RNA (460 nucleotides) under uncultured bacterium. RNAcentral's name for it is "partial 16S ribosomal RNA". It matches the Rfam family "Bacterial small subunit ribosomal RNA", at positions 338 to 795 of the family's 1533-position model. The record is from RNAcentral.
CCUACGGGAGACAGCAGUGAGGAAUAUUUGUCAAUGGACGAGAGUCUGAACCCGCCAAGUAGCGUGAAGGAUGACUGCCCUAUGGGUUGUAACCUUCUUUUAUCAAGGCAUAAAACGCGGCACGUGUGCCUUUUUGCAUGUACUUUAUGAAUAAGGAUCGGCUACCUCCGUGCCAGCAGCCGCGGGAAUACGGCGGAUCCGAGCGUUAUCCGGAUUUAUUGGGUUUAAAGGGAGCGUAGAUGGGUUUUUAAGUCAGUUGUGAAAGUUUGCGGAUCAACCGUAAAAUUGCAAUUGAUACUGGCAGUCUUGAGUACAGUUGAGGUAGGCGGAAUUCGUGGUGUAGCGGUGAAAUGCUUAGAUAUCACGAAGAACCCCGAUUGCGAAGGCAGCUUACUAAACUGUGACUGACAUUGAUGCUCGAAAGUGUGGGUAUCAAACAGGAUUAGAUACCCUUGUAGUC